Molecule: long non-coding RNA, 530 nt
Filed under: Ananas comosus (pineapple)
Lineage: Eukaryota; Viridiplantae; Streptophyta; Magnoliopsida; Poales; Bromeliaceae
Description: long non-coding RNA (ACOM_LNC023112)
Source: RNAcentral
UUAUUUGAAUAUGCAAAGUGGAUCGCACCGUUUUCUGCACUUCUUUUGGCGUCAUAUUAAGUCUUGCCUUCAUUAACGGGAGAAUCACUUGGCAUAUGAGAUUUGAAGUACAAUUACGAUGCGCCGCAUUUAGCAUUGGAAUAACACAAGUCUGUUGACCCGCAUAUGUCUUAAAUCUGAAAUAUAUUGCAUCUUUAGGAACCGAAGCGUGUAAUCUCCAAGGACAUCCCUCAACUGUGCAUUUUACUGUAUAAGUUGUUUUGGUGGAUUUCAAAACCUUCAUCUGAACAUUGUGAGUAAUGUGCCAUCGAUCUAGAGCGUCCACUAAAGAUGCCUUAUCAUAAAAGAUUUGAUGAAGCCAAGUCCCGUCAAUACUAGGUAGAUCGGUAUUGAUACGUCUAAUAUCGAACUCACUCGAAUUCACAACAUACUGUUGUAUCCAAUUGUUAUCUGUAGGAAAUUGCUCCGGAUGGUCAAUAAAAUCAAGUUCCUCGUCAGGAUUAUCUACAUAUUCGUUGUUUACAUGUGGG